UAGAGUGGGGGACAACAGUUGGAAACGACUGCUAAUACCGCAUAAGCCCACGGUACCGCAUGGCACUGAGGGAAAAGGAUUUAUUCGCUUUAGGAUGGACUCGCGUCCAAUUAGCUAGUUGGUGAGGUAACGGCCCACCAAGGCGACGAUUGGUAGCCGGACUGAGAGGUUGAACGGCCACAUUGGGACUGAGACACGGCCCAGACUCCUGCGGGAGGCAGCAGUGGGGGAUAUUGCACAAUGGGGGAAACCCUGAUGCAGCGACGCCGCGUGGAGGAAGAAGGUUUUCGGAUUGUAAACUCCUGUCGUUAGGGACGAUAAUGACGGUACCUAACAAGAAAGCACCGGCUAACUACGUGCCAGCAGCCGCGGUAAAACGUAGGGUGCAAGCGUUGUCCGGAAUUACUGGGUGUAAAGGGAGCGCAGGCGGGAAGACAAGUUGGAAGUGAAAACCAUGGGCUCAACCCAUGAAUUGCUUUCAAAACUGUUUUUCUUGAGUAGUACAGAGGUAGAUGGAAUUCCCGGUGUAGCGGUGGAAUGCGUAGAUAUCGGGAGGAACACCAGUGGCGAAGGCGGUCUACUGGGCACCAACUGACGCUGAGGCUCGAAAGCAUGGGUAGCAAA
Molecule: ribosomal RNA, 624 nt
Filed under: uncultured bacterium
Lineage: Bacteria
Description: bacterial SSU rRNA
Rfam family: Bacterial small subunit ribosomal RNA
Source: RNAcentral